This 816-nucleotide long non-coding RNA is filed under the name Equus caballus (horse). Its description in RNAcentral is "lncRNA (ENSECAG00000053560.1)". Lineage: Eukaryota; Metazoa; Chordata; Mammalia; Perissodactyla; Equidae. The record is from RNAcentral.
GGUAUCUCUCUUUCCUAGCGCUGUUGCCAGGCAGACUUGUUACUGACACAAAUUUCCUCCCUGAUAAGUUGAGCUCUUCCCCCUCCCAACUUCAUUAUGCCUGCAGCCGGAGCUCUGCUGCAGAGGAAGCCAUGCCAGACACUCUGAUUCACGCUCCUAAAAUAUCGGCCAGCCUGGGUAUGCAAGUGAUGCGAUAAAUCUGGAAAACAUAAAUCAGAUUGUCGGAUGCUAUAUCUGUUUGUGCACAUAGGCUGCAGCAGGCAUGGUGACAUGCCCUCCAACUCUUUGGAGACUACAUUCAAGAGGAGGUUAAAGGGCACGGCUUCUAGAUCUGGGACAGGUGGGCGAGGAGGGCAGGAGUCAACAUGUAGAAGAGGCUUUAAAACUGUUGACAUACAGCCCAGGCACCAGACAUGAGAGUGAAGUGGAGUUCAGGCUCAGAGAUUAUCGGGAGAGGCUGGAAAAGGAAGCCUGAGGAGAGGACCCAAUGUUAGCAAAUCUUCCAAUAUAAAGAAUUUACAAAGCCCCUGAGUUUGGAUAUCAGAGGGAAGGUUGGUUUCAGCUUCACUAGGAACCCAGUCAAGAUGGAAAAUCAAAUAUACAGAAUCUGGCAGUUUGGAAGCUUCCUUAAAGAACACUCUAGAAAAAGCCAACCAACAAGUCCUUUCCUUUGGUGAACAAAGAAAAUUGCCUUCUUUGAGCCACUUAAUCAUUUCAAAGCCCAGAAAAGAAGACGGACUUUGUCUCUUUAGAAGAGAUUACUGGAGAAAUAUAUCACAUACUGUGGAAAAUGCAGAAACAAAAAUUAAAGAAAAG